GGAUAGGCAAGGGUAAUGGAUCUGCUCAAACUGCGAAAAAGUUUAAACAUAUUUGCUACCAUGAACAAUGUUCUUAUGUCCCCUUCACCAGAUGGGCUGCUGGAUUUAUGAUGAGACAUGUCACAGAUACAUAUCAAGAUAAAUGGAAACUGGGAGCCCUUUAGAGCCAGACUUCGGGAUCUAUAGAGAGCACCUGUUCUAUUGCUGACUCGAUAAUUGAUAGAGUUGUACUCCUGGGCUUUGGUAAGCUAUUGAAAUCAAUUUCAAAAAACAAUAUAAAGUGAUUGGAAACAAUAUUUUCAACUUUUUCACAGUAAUGAUCAAGAAUGAGCAACGACCAAGCAAACCUGACAAGUCCGAUUUCAUUUCCUUUCCCUUCUCCAGCCCCUUCAUAGUCAGGUGGCCGGGAAGACACCAGAGACAAGAAGUGAAGGGGGACAAAAUCUCCAAAUUGAAUGGAUUAUCCAGGAUUCACUGCAACGUGAACAAUGGACGAUGGCACUCACCACCUCCCAGCAGCAAGAACUUUAUGGUAGGAAGAAACCACAUCCCAGAGCCUUUUGAGGCAGCGGCAAGGAAGAUGAGAGUCCGGGCGGGACCCUCUUUCCCACUAUUUCCCGUGUGUGCCGGUUCCUCCAGCAGCUCCACAGACACCCCUAAGUCAUGACAUAAAUCUGCAGCCAGCCCCCAGAAGCCUCGGCGGAGGAUGUGGAGGGGACAAGAUAACUCGCGAAUGGUCCGGACCUGCACCUCACCACUGUGGCCUCGCAUCACACACGAGCCCUGCCACGCUGCAGCCCACAUCGCAUCAGAACAUGCCCACACGAUGUUUCCAGCCCUAAUUUUACCUCAGGCAGCCUGAAUGACAUAGACAGCCAGACAGUGGAAAAAAAAAAAGUGCCAAUAAGCAGUUUUGCUAAGCAUCAUUCCAA
This is a long non-coding RNA of Leopardus geoffroyi (Geoffroy's cat), 932 nucleotides long. RefSeq lists it as uncharacterized. The record is from RefSeq and is a predicted model, not a curated record. The transcript is spliced from 2 exons. Lineage: Eukaryota; Metazoa; Chordata; Mammalia; Carnivora; Felidae.